CUCCAGUGCGAGUGAGGAGCAGCUGCCUUCCCUGUGUGCUCUCCAGGAGAGGCAGCUGCUCCUUCCCACGAGAUGGCAAGCGGUGGAGCUGGAAGUCGCUGUGGCUGAGUGGCUGGGCCCCCCUGCCCAUGCCAGCCAGUCCAAGAAAGCUGGAUGUUGACCCUGGAGAUCUUGCCUCAGUGACGUGGCUGUCAGGACGCAGCCUUCUCCUCUAUCUGCUGUAAUAUCAAUGCUAGAGUUCCUGUGCACUGCAGUGAGGUAGGUGCCCUCCUUCAUCAUUGGGAAUCAACUCCUUUUAGGCCCUGUGAAAAACCAGAGGCA
This 321-nucleotide long non-coding RNA is filed under the name Struthio camelus australis. RNAcentral describes it as "lncRNA (ENSSCUG00000002289.1)". The record is from RNAcentral. Lineage: Eukaryota; Metazoa; Chordata; Aves; Struthioniformes; Struthionidae.